This is a long non-coding RNA of Patella vulgata (common limpet), 846 nucleotides long. RefSeq lists it as uncharacterized. Lineage: Eukaryota; Metazoa; Mollusca; Gastropoda; Patellidae. The record is from RefSeq and is a predicted model, not a curated record. The transcript is spliced from 3 exons.
GAUUAUGAUCCAAGUUUAGUGAAUACUCAUAAGAGAAUCAGUUUACAUUUGAAGCUACAUAUCAAGAAAGAAUACCUUGAAAUAAACACAGGUUCCCGGGAAGACAUGUCGAGUACUUCUCCAGCAUUUUACAGUAAUGAUGGGCGUAACAUACAUCUACAUGUAGGUGAUAACAUAAGACAAGCGGUAUUUGGUGAGGGCCCUGGUUCUAGUAGAACAGAUAUGGAAGGAGCAGUAGAAGUAUUUGGUGAGGGUCCUGGUUCUAGUAGAACAGAUAUGGAAGGAGCAGUAGAAGUAUUUGGUGAGGGUCCUGGAUCUAGUAGAACAGAUAUGGAAGGAGCAGUAGAAGUAUUUGGUGAGGGCCCUGGUUCUAGUAGAACAGAUAUGGAAGGAGCAGUAGAAGUAUUUGGUGAGCGUCCUGGUUCUAAUAGAACAGAUAUGAAAGGAGCAGUAGAAGUAUUUGGUGAGGGCCCUGGUUCUAGUAGAACAGAUAUGGAAGGAGCAGUAGAAGUAUUUGGUGAGCGUCCUGGUUCUAAUAGAACAGAUAUGGAAGGAGCAGUAGAAGUAUUUGGUGAUGGUCCUGAUUCUAAUAGAACAGACAUGGACGGAGUAGUAGAAAGAAUUGAGGUGAUUAAUCCUGAACCUUCAGAUCUUAGUGGCUUAACGGAAGUUGUGGAAGAGUUACGUCCCCGUUUUAAUGAUACAUCGUGUUCUCUGCUAGCCCCGGUUGGUUUCGGUGUACUUUGGUUAUACAAUAGAUGUAUAUAGCAACCGGAAUAAUAGAUCCAAUCGUUUACUGGUUUAAUAAGAUUUCAAAUCGUAAAACAAAUUUCGACUAUUUAUGUA